Cyprinus carpio carpio is the source of this 1683-nucleotide long non-coding RNA. Lineage: Eukaryota; Metazoa; Chordata; Actinopteri; Cypriniformes; Cyprinidae. The record is from Ensembl.
UACAUUAUUAACACACAUACUUAUUUAGAUUUCAAAUUUGCACAUCACAUACCUGUACAUACAUAAUUGUCUAUAUUAUAUAUUGUGUUUUUGCUUUUGUGUACAUUGUCUAUUUGUAUAUUAUUAUUUUUUUUAUCUGUGUCCUCUCUAGUCACUGUCAUUCUGUUGCACUGUGGAGCUUCUGUCACUAAAACAAAUUCCUUGUAUGUGUAAACACCUGGCAAUAAAGUUCACUCUGAUUCUGAUGAUGACGUCGCCUCCGUGUGGGCACGUGAUGAUGACGCAGAAGGGCACUUCAAGAAACAGUUUUUUUUUAAAUAUAUAUAUCAGAAUGAAACAGGUAAACAUUAGAACACAAACAUAUGGGGGAUACAGUAACAAUUAAAAUGUAAUUAAAUAUAAAAAAAAAAAUUACAUUCAUAAAAGUUACAAUUUAUUUAUGAUUUAUUUUUAUAAUAUUGGAUGUUUUAAGGCUUUUUUAUUAGAGGAGAUUCUUUGAAGUGAUGAGUAAAGCAAAAGUAAAUCAGAAGAGAGUAUUUUACAAUUAGGUUUAAUGUUAAGGCAUCGUGCUUUGUGAAUGUGGAGUUUUCCCAUCAUACAAAUAAAGUCCAGGACAUCCUCUAGCUCCCUAUUGUCAGAAAUCACAGAAUGAAAGAGAACCUUAACUGCUGAAAUGUUACAUAGACGAAAGAUUUUUCAUAUUUUAGCUGACUAAUGACUAAUGGGUGUGUGUGGGGGCGUGUGGGUGUUAAAUUCUGAUGUAGUACACAAACACUAUAAUAUGUUUUCAUUUAUUCUUUUAGUAUGUGCUUAAUAAGAUUUCAUACAUAGAAGAGUGCUUCAUGGACUGGCAGUUUAAAAUCUCUGUCAUGACAUUGAUACAGGUGUUUAAACCUUCAUUUAGUAAUUUUUUAUGCAAAAUGUUUUAUCUAAUUAUUUGUUUGUUCAUUUGUAUAUAGUUGUGCCUGGAGAAAUUGUUUAAAGGAAUAGUUCUCCCAAAGCUCACCCUCAGCAGGCCAUCCAAGAUUUAUGAGUUUGUUUCUUCAUCAGAAAUGUACUAUUACACAACUUGCUCACCAAUGGAUCCUCUGCAGUGAAUGGGUGCCUUCAAAAUGAGAGUUCAAACAGCUGAUAAAAACACAAGUCCUCUACCCAUAAUAUUGCUCUCUUCAGUGAAAAGUCAUCUGUUCUGAAUCAGGAGAGAAAUACGCACAGAUCAAGCACUGUUUACAACUGAAAACAGAUCUAAACAAAUAUGUCGCUGGGUUUUGAUGUGAGAGGACAGCAGGGGAUGGACUUUUUCACUGGAGGAAGUGUUAUUAUGUGUAAAGGUGAAAGGGUGGAUUAUUUUUAUCCUGGAAAAGAAUUUCAGUUAUUCCUAUGCUGUUAUAUUAAGCAAUAGUUAUUUGGUUAACCAUUUUCUUAUGUUAAUUUACCCAUAUUUGUGUUUCUGCUCGUCUCAGAUCUGUGGAUGGCCCCUGAACACUUGAGGAAACAGGGGAUCUCUCAGAAAGAUGUGUAGAGUUUUGCUAUCAUUUCCCAGAAGAUGCAAAGUGCACAUUCUAUACAAGCUCUUGCUCUAAUCGUACUGGUGGAGACAACUGGUGAUGCAUAUAUGGUGGUGUCUGGUCUUCCUCGACGCAAUGGGAACAGGCAUACAAAAGAUAUAUGCUGCAUGGCACU